CUGUACUCACACCUGCAUAUGAGCUCUAAGAACAGUGUAGGGAUUUUGUGUAUCUUUGUAAAGUGAGGAAAGUUCUGAUGUAUUUCAGUUCCACAAAUCUGCUAUCAGUCUCCCGAGGGGUACUUAGUUGAAUGUUUGCUUCUUAAAGUGGCCAUGGCAGCUCAGGCCUGCUGUGCUAGCAACUGAAAGGCUGAAACGAAAGGUCCUUGAGUCCAGGGUAGGCCUGAGUUGCACAGAGAGCCUAUUUCGGAGAAGCCCCCACUUACCCACCCAUCCCCCAGAGCCCUAAGUCAAUCUCAUCAGCACACGGAUUUCUAAAUUUUGAUGUGUUGCUGAAACUCAUUUUAUGUGUGACUCAGUUUUCUUCAUACAAGAACCCUUUGCCUCAGCGUGUGACCUUCUCAAAGCUGCAAUUUGGGUUCUAUCACGUGCCCUCAAAACAGAGCCAGCCUACAAGGUGCUAGUGACUGACAGAGAAGUAACUGAUUUUGUGGGGGAGACAAAUGGAAAUGCUACAGAACACAACAGCCAGUAAUCUAGAAAGACCAAAAUUGUGCCUUCCUGCCUCUGAGUUCCUGUUGAGCCAAGGGCCUCUAUGUCUGUCUGUCUGUCUCUCUCUCUCACUCCCCCUCCCCCUCCAUCUCCAUCUCCAUCUCUGCCUCUAUUUCCAUUCUCCACCUCCAUCCACCUCCAUCUCAGUCUCCAUCUUCAUCUCCACCUUCACCUCCAUCCACCUCCACCUCUUCUCCGCCUCCAUCUCUGCACCCAGCUCUAUCAUCUCCAUCCUUGUCUCUGUCUUCAAUCUCACACAUUUUAUAACUCUGCUUACUUUGAGCUCCAGUCCCCUGUGGCAGGAUGGACAGAAGAGCUCAAAGAAUCUGUCUGCACUCACUUGUGCCGUCUGUGUCCCAGCCCCUUCCUGACAAUGCCCCUGCUCCUCAUCUUCAGACUCUUGCUCCCUGAACAAGUUUGCUCCCACAGUCCUCCCCAGAGGCAGCCCCACUUCCACCUCUGGCACUGAGCUUGCCUACCCCAAGCCUGAGUAGCUUCCUGCCUCUCUGGGCAGUCAACCCUCACCCCUCCUGUCCAGGCCAGCCCUGCUGGGGCCCCUGCCUGGCAGGACACGGCACCUGUAAUGACUAAAAAUAGGUGUUGCAUAAAAGAGCAGUGAGACCCAAAUGAUGUCUGAAGCAGGAAAUAUAAUGACCCUCCAAAAAUAUGGUCCUGGUGCUUCCCCAGGAGCCCAGCACUUGCUUCAAAGCCUCUGAACUAUCUUUAUUUUGCAUUCAAACUAUCUUUUGGGGCCAGGUUUCCUUCACAACACAGCUUAUUGCUAAACGGAUCUGAAGCCCUGGGGAGUUUAUCUGUAGUUAGGGUUUCUUUUUUUCUUCUUUCCAGUAACCAUGGGUCGGAGGUAUUCCAGCAAUUCUUAACUAAAGGACAACUCUGUUUCAUGACAUCUAAUCAGGGGGACAUCCCACUGGGAGGACAGAUUGUGUCCUUUUUCCCCACUCUGGGCUGAGGAGAUAAAGAGAUAAAACUCAUAGGUUGUUUUAUUUUCUGAAAAAUCAACAGUGUAGUCUUCUGGUGGAGGGAGGGGGAUCCUCACGUGAGCCUGUUAUGCAUAGAGGCUGAUGGGAGGCUGCCAGUGGGCUUGUGGGUGGAAAGGGUUGUGUCUACAGUGACUGCUCUUGUUCUGUUCUAAAAAACGCUCCUAUUUUGGACCAUCUGGAAUCCUGGUAGUUCAUAUGAAAAUGGAAAAAUUUGAGGGUGUACGCCUGUGCUUUCCAUGGGUGUCCUUAUUGGUAGGAUCUGGUUGUGUAGACCCUGAUUCCCUGAUGUCCUCUCUGCUCCAAUAUACUAGGCCGACCUCAGUUUGCAGCUGAGAAGGCCUGCAGUGAUGUGUCAGGUACCUCCUCAGACUCAUCCUCCUGCCACCAAAGCCGCGCCACGAAUGCCGGCGGCACAGUUCUCAGAGACUCUGCUGAGCCUUUGUGAAGGGCAAAGGAAGCUUCCAGCUUCAGCCAGAGGCAAAGCAUUGAGCUUUAUGGCUUCCUUUUCUAACCCCUUUAGCUGCCGCAGGGAUCUCUCCUGCUUGUCUCCGGCUUGUUCUACACUUGCUAAAGGCCCAGGGAUUAUCAGCAAAGGUCUGAGGAGUGAGCAGUCUUAGUUUGUCUUGGGAUUAGGUAGCAAUGGAAACUGUAGAUCCAUGGAAAGACAGCAGCUUGGAGGCCACCACCUGGCCCCAGCAGCGUUCUCUGGCUUCCAACUUUCUUCACGUUUGUUCUUUUGUCCACUCUGGUGCUCACAGUUUGUUUGGUCUCUGCCUCAUCUUCCUUCUUUUGCCUUUCAGUGUCCCUCUCAUUUAUUUUCCUUUCAGUGAUAAUGGUACAGAGGUUCUAGGAUGAGACUGAGGCCAAGAAAAGUUAAGGUGCUAUGGGGCCUUGGUUACAAUGCAACUGGGGUACCAACUUCCCCUUGGGGAGUCACAGUGGUUGCAGCAUCCAUACCCAGGAAGACUCAUUUCCACUGUCAGCUUGAGUGGGGUAUACUGAGGCACAGCGCUGGGAACAUUGUGUCCCAUGUGUCCGUGGGAACAUUACCAGGGAGGAUUAACUGAAAGGGGAAUGCCUGGCAGCAAGUGGCACAAUCCCAUGGGCUUGGGGCCUGAGCCAAACUGAGAAGGGGACAGUGAGUCAGGCACUACUACUAUUGUGCUGUACAGACAGCAAUGGAGGAAGCCCUCACAACUCUACCUUCCCCUUGGCAGACUGUGUCUGCAGAACCUUGAGUCCAAAUACCCCCUUCUCCUGUGGGCUGCUUGUACCUUGACUUUUCUUUAUCUAGGAUUUCUUCUCUUCCAACCAGCAGCUGACUCUAGCUCAGAGCUUAGGGCUUUCGCUUUUCUUCAUUAUUAUAUUCUGCUUUUUAGAAGAGGUUUCAUUAUGGCGUUUUUCAAGUGACAUUCUUUCCUUGCUGUUUGUCUCUCCCUCUUCUUCCCUGUGCCUUCCUCCUUGUGUCCUGUCACCCCCAGCAGCCCCCUUUCCACUUUCAUGUCACACAGGACCUUUUCCCUUCAACCUCUUGAUCCUCUCUUGUGGUCUGUGGUCCAGCGCCACAGUCCAGUCCCCUCUUAGAACCUAUGUUUACACGUGCACAGGCAUUGUGAUUUAGUACAUUCUGAGGAAGACACAAGGUAUUUGUCUUUCUGAGAUGGGGUCAUCUCACAAUGUAAUACUUUCUAGUAUUGUAUGUAAUAAAUUUCACUUUCUUGGAUUUUCAUAAUUUCGCUUUUCUUAACAGCCAAGUGAAAUUCCACUGUGUAUAUGUGUCACAUUUCCUUACCCGUCCUCCUGUUGAUGGACACCUAGGCUGGUUCUGCUUCCUGCCUAUUAUGAAUAGAGCAGCAAUAAACAUGGCCGAGCAAGUGUCUCUGCUGUAGAGUUUAGGGUGUGAGUUUCAGGCCCCCUGAGCAGACCUGUUUUCACUGUCCUGUCAGUGACAAUCACCCAGGUCCCUCUAUUGUCAUUCAGGGUUUGGCUUGUAGCAGGAGUGAGUGUCCAUUCUCCAAGCUGUGACACACAAGUUCUUUCCAUUCCCAUGAUCAUGAGGCUCUGUCAGAACUGUCGCCCAGGCUUUGGCAUUUCUGUAAGUGACCAGCAAUGGUGCAGCUCUCUGUAUUAUGUAUAACAUACCUCAUCUCUUACCUGCUGGUUUCAGGGGCAGGAAACACCUUCUGAUGGUCUCGGCCCAGGUCUGGCUGGAGCCACUUCUUGGUGAGCUUGGAGGAUGUGGACUUGGGUGAUGAAUCCGUGCCUGAGGACUUUUAGAAAAUUCAGCCAGCCACAGUGGCUAGCUCAUCCAGUCUCAGAGCUCAAGGGUUAUUGUAUGGAUGAGGUGAAUGAGCAUUGAAAGAUGCCUGGAAAACAGACAUUGUUAAAGAGACACAUGUCCCUGGAAUGGAAAUGACAAUAUUGACAUUGAAGAACAUCAGUGCCUCAAUGAUGGUUCCUUUUGCCUCUCAUGGGUGACCUAAGCACAGAGCAGGGGCUCCUGGUGGCAGGACCCAGUCAGCUUUAGGAAGCACUUGCGGCUUGAAGGCAGAAGACUCUGUGAUGACUCACAUUGCUUACAAGAACCUCGUGUCAAUGAUUCUAGUGCUUCCUACGGAUGAGAAGCUAGAGGCUUGGAGAGACCUUUAACCUGACAAAACCAUGCAGUGGGGCCAGGACCUAAAGCUGGUGUUGUCUCCAGCAGUCACAUGUGUGGUUGGUGUAACCAUCACGGCAUGUUCUGGUCUUCCUUUCCCUUCUCUAAGGUUUUACUGCAGUCAGUUGACCCCAUUGCCUUUGGCUCUGUGGAGAAGCAGGACGUGAUGGUGGCCUGGACGGCUCAUUUCAUGGUGGCAGGAAGCACAGAGAGCAAUGAGAAGGACACACUCCACUGGCUCAACUUUCUUCCAUUAGGCCCCACCUUCUUCAGACUGCUGCCUCCCAGCCAUGGCACAGGCUGGAUCCUUCGGGAACCUUCAGGCAGUGUGCAGCUUCUGCUCACACACAUCUCCUAGGAUGCUUUUAUUUGAGGGACCAUCCUCCUAGUGCAGGGUGCUCACACCCCUCCACUGUCAUUCCUCCUGAGGUAUUUUCUACAUAUCAUGUCCCUCCCACAGUCAGAGACAUACACAUCUAACCAAGGAAUCCUCCCUGGCAGGUUUUGGUGUGGUCUGAAACUUUCCCUUUGAAGAUGAAAGCAGCUGUGGUUCCAGAUGCUGAGCCUCCAGGGUCCUCAGCUCCACAAGGUGUCUUGUGUCUUGAAAUGCAGAUUUCUCAUAUGGGAACUUGAGGAAGGUUUGAAGACACAGUUGGUCAUUAGUGUCACCUGCGGUAAUGUGAUUAGCAUGAGUGGUUCAAGGCUGAGGGCGAUCUUUAAGAACACCAGCAGAUCCUCACAGCUGGAGGCCUGCUGUCCAGGAGGGACAGCCCAAGCACUGUUGUCUGAGCUAACGAGAAGGUCAGGGGUCCAGCAUCACUUGAGAUAAAUUACUGAAGGAGAGCAACUGGCCCGGAGCGUGGCUGGAUUUCUUGAAAAGGAACUCACCACUGUGUGUGACUCACAGAAGAGGUUUCCUCACAGGAACACACGCGUUCACACAAGCUCUCGUCACGGUAGCCUCGUUUCUGUCUGGCUGUGGGUGAUUUUUGGUUUGUUUGUUUGUCUUAUUGGCUUAAUUAAAAAUAAUAUAAUCAUUGGGAACAAGCAAAAGAAACUUAUUCUAAGCACUACCAUUUCUUUUUCAGACCCCAUUUAAUCACAGGAAGAAACUAAAUUCAAGGUCCCAGGCCCUAGGGGAGCUGGGGACUUCCCAAUAGCUGAACAGCUUCUGUUGUAAGGAGACAGUUGUCCGAGUCUAGACAUCUUAAGGACAACUUGUAAGGAGACAGUUGUCUGAGUCCAAUCAUCUCAGGGACAACUUCUCCAUCUUGCUGGCAGGGUCAAACUAGUUCAUGUUCCCAGGCCCAGGAACCAGCUCCUCUCCUGAUUGAUGGAAACUCCCUUGCUCAACCUCUUAUGUCAGAUUAUGACAGGACAAUGCUACAGCCCACCCUGCUCCUCCUCGCUUUAUGGUUUCCUCCUUUAAAUAUGCUGUGCAACAUCCUUCAGGGUUGCAGUUCAGCUCCUGAGUCUGUUCUGUGGCCCUGGUCCACCAGUGGCGUCUUGAUUACCAUACAUGUUUGUCAUCUGCAUUGACCCGGUGUUUGAGUCAUGUUGGAUUUAAGCGAAUCCCAUAACACUGCUAAUCUCCAGUCUCUGGAUGUGGGGAUCUGUUUUGUGGGUCUUUUCCAGAAUACUCUAUGGAAAGACUCACCCAUCGCAGAACCUGUCAGAUCUGUUUUCUCUCACCUAGCAGACUGCCUUGGGAUGUAUCCGUGCUGUUGAAUGUGUGGGGUUUGCUCCUUUUUCAUUGCUGACUGAUACUCCAUUGCUUAUCUGUUCACUUGUCGAAGGGCAUGUAAGGUUCCUUCUGAAGUGUGACAGACAUUUCUGUGGGACAUUUAUGUGGUAUGUGUUUAUCUCCUUUAGGUACAUAUCUAGGCAUGAGUUUCCUGAGUCCUGGGCUCCAUGUUUUCUUACCAUUGCCAGAAAUUCACAAAAGGCACUGUGCUGCAAUCCAACUGGGAGUUUGUGAGAAUUCCAUCUGUCCCACAUGCUUGGAUUCAUCAUGGCCAGAUUUUGAGAAACAUGUUUAACAAUUUCAAAGGGGCCGUGGAGCCUUUCUUAGUUUUGUGCUUCUGAAAGAUCAUGGACGCUGGCCUUGUCACCUAGCUUUUUUUCUGCACCAAUGGUGCUGAUCUUUAUUUCUGUAUUAUCUUCUAGAAAGCGUGUAACUUGAGGAUUUCUAUUUACUUUCAUGUCUAUGACCCUUUUGAAUUUAUCUGUGGAUAUAAUAUCUAUCUAGGUCCUCUCUCUUCCAUAACACCCCUCACAAACACACAGAGGAAUAGUUUAUGAUGACCUCUGACCUACAACCCCUUUCCUUUCCUUCCCUUCCCUUUCUUCUCCCUUUCCCUCCUGCCCCUUCCCCUUCCUUCCAUAGGAAGGUUUGAACCCUGAAAAUGAUUUUGUGUUUCUGACCAAGCUUGCUUUGUAAAUCAUGCUAGCAUCUCUAGUCUAAAUACCAGCAGUGGAGACAGCUUGUGUGAUUAACCUCUCCCAUAGGAAGGAGGGGGAAGGGACAGGAGGGAAAGGGAGAAACCAAUUGUUUCAGUCCCAUUGGUGGAAAGGCAAUCCUUCUCUAUUAUAGACUCCAUGUCUUGUCAAGUGAACAGCUAAUCUUUCCUGGUCUCUGUUGGGGCUCUUUGAGAGGGCUGUUUCUCGCAUCUCCUUCAAUGUUCUGUCUUCCACAGGAAGUCUUCCUAUAGGGUGAGGAGUGGCUCAUGUGUGGACAGGGCUGCUCAGCACCUGACUGGGCAAAAGAAAAGCAGUUUUGUCCUGCCGAGAUGAGGACUAACUUCUCUGUUGUUUGCAGUACAUCUUCUGUGUCUAGGAUGUCUUGAUCUUGAAGAAGUGCAGGUAGGGUUCUCUGAGCAGGGCUGUGAAGAGUAAUGAGGGCCCUGUCUGGGGGAAGGCUCAUGGGGGAAGCCUCAUGAGCAUCUAGGUAGGUAUUCGUAUAACUCCUGUUUUACUUUGUAAGGAAGACAGGCUAGGGGAAUGGAGGUAGUUAUGAGAACAAGCAUGCUAACAGACUUAAAUUCUGUGGCUUAUGCAUGUGUGUGUGUGUGUAUGUGUGUGUGUGUGUGUGUGUGUGUGUGUGUGUGUGUAAAUAAUGUGUAUAUCGAGGCCAGAGAAUGAUCUCAGCUGUUGUUCCUCCUUCAAGCAGGCAGACAUAUCCCCCCAGCCCUGCCAUCAAUCCUGGCUUUUCUGUGAGUUCUGGGGAUCAGACUUCAAUCUUAGAUCCCAAUGCUUACAAGUCAAGAACCUUACCAAAUGGGUUGUCUCUGGAGCUGAGUUUCUUGAUGGAGAGCUCGAUCUUGGGUAGGCUAAGAUGCUGCUCCCAUCUGUCUGCACCAGCCGCUCUCUCCUAUUGCUUACUUCCUGCUGUGGGGUCAGACACAACUCAACAGAGCAUGUACUUAGCAUACAAGUCCCCAUUGCAUUCCUUCUUAUGAACACGAUUGUUUUCCCGUUCUGGAAUGUGUCUCUGUAUCUCAGAGACGCUUUCUACCAUGCCACUCAUUUCUGAUUUUUCAUGGCCUUAAAGCCGCCAUCUGGAGCAAGGCUGGGAAGGGCGCUGCGAGAUCCCUCUGCAGGCUUUGGCCUCAGGCCUGCCACCCAGGGCCACGGAAGCAAUUCCAUCUUUCUCAGAAAGCUUCUUGGAGCCGUCUCCCCAUCUUUGGCAGCUUGACCUUUUGUGCAGGCCCAGCUUUUCCUCCAGGGAAUCUACCCCCUGUUGAUGGACAGUCACCCUUAGAACACUGGGGAAGGUUUGAACCCUGAAAAUGAUUUUGUGUUUCUGACCAAGCUUGCUUUGUAAAUCAUGCUAGCAUCUCUAGUCUAAAUACCAGCAGUGGAGACAGCUUGUGAUUAACCUCUCCCCUCCAAGAAGCAGCCAGCACCAAUGAUUCUUCCUUCUAGAACACUGUAACCAGUUUUUAAUAAAGCCAAAAGACUUCUGCCCAGAGUCCUCUGGUCAUCUGUUUUCCUUAAUGGCCUUUUAUGAGGGACCUUAUCAAAAGCUUGCAAAAGAAUCUAAGUAAAUUAUGUUCCUCCGUUCACCUUUACCUACUGUUUCAUUAACUUUUUCAAAAACAAUAUGACAUAGUUUUCAACAUAAUUAAAGGGGUUGGAAAGGGAGCUUUAAGUACCGUUUGACAGUUUGCGAUGCUGCCCUGGAGAGCCAGGUCACCGCUCAGCUCACAUUCUGCCUCUGCUCUGGGACACUAAUUCAUUUCCCAGGCUGUCUGGUGAGGUCAGCCACAGGUUCAAGGUGGAAAUGACAAGGUUUCAAGCUUUCAAGUGUGUAGCACUUAGCUCUCCAGACGGUCCAAAGGAAGGAAGCAGCUAGUUUAUCCAGGUCUGGCCCAGAAAAAGGAAACUGGGGGAAGAACUGGGUGGAAGGGAGAGGGCGGUGUCCCCACCAAGGGGAAAAUCCUGGGCAGGUUUGCAGACAUUCCCAAGUGCUCUC
Molecule: long non-coding RNA, 8683 nt
Organism: Meriones unguiculatus (Mongolian gerbil)
Lineage: Eukaryota; Metazoa; Chordata; Mammalia; Rodentia; Muridae
Exons: 3
Source: RefSeq, a predicted model, not a curated record